Molecule: long non-coding RNA, 252 nt
Filed under: Setaria viridis
Lineage: Eukaryota; Viridiplantae; Streptophyta; Magnoliopsida; Poales; Poaceae
Description: long non-coding RNA (SVIR_LNC003868)
Source: RNAcentral
GAGGAUAGAGGAUGAGGAAGAAGAUAAGGGAGAAAGGGAGAGGAGGAGAAGAUAAGGUGGAGAGAGAGAGGGGGCCGCAUGGAAAGGGACCUUUUAGUCCUGGUAGAAAACACCAACUGGACUACCCCCCGUUUAGUCCCAGUUGGUGUUUCCAACCGGGACAAAACGCCCCACUAAAUUUUUAUGCCCCCACUAACCGGUACAACCGAGACUAAAUGGGGUAUUUAGUCCCGAUUGAUAUUACUAACAGGG